Non-coding RNA from Otolemur garnettii (small-eared galago), 315 nucleotides. The record is from Rfam. Lineage: Eukaryota; Metazoa; Chordata; Mammalia; Primates; Galagidae.
ACCGGGCGUUGUGGCUGGCGCCUGUGGUCCCAGCUACUUGGGAGGCUGAGGCAAGAGACUCACUUGAGCCCAGGAGUUGGAGGUUGCUGUGAGCUGUAAUGCCACGGCACUCUACCCAGGGGGAUAGCUUGAGGCUCUGUCUCAAAAAAAAAAAAUUUUUUUUUUGCUAAUUUGAUAGGGAGAAAUAGUAACUCAUUUCUAAGUUUUACUUUUUUUUUUUUUUUAGACGGAGCCUCAAGCUAUCCCGCUGGGUAGAUGGCAUCACAGCUCACAGCAACCUCCAACUCCUGGGCUCAAGCGAGUCUCCUGCCUCCU